Molecule: long non-coding RNA, 340 nt
Filed under: Ananas comosus (pineapple)
Lineage: Eukaryota; Viridiplantae; Streptophyta; Magnoliopsida; Poales; Bromeliaceae
Description: long non-coding RNA (ACOM_LNC018083)
Source: RNAcentral
UAAGGAUGUCAAGUUCAAUCCAUUUCUUAACUAUAAGCUACCGUUUGGUUCAGGGUUAACGAAAAACUAGUUAUUCCAGGGAUAGGGUUAAGUUCAGGGUUAAGGUGAGGUUAAAGUAUUUUUGUGUUUGGUUGGGGGUUAAAGUUAGUCCAGGAUAGUGAAAAAUAGUGUUUGGUUGGAGUAGGUGGAAUAAGAAGGAUAGUGGUUGGUAAAGUGAUAAAAAGACGAAAAUACCCUCACAUUAAUGUAUUGAAAUAAAAGUUUUUUUUUGUUUUUAAAAUUCAAUACUUGCAAAUAAUUGUGAGGAUUAAAAUUGAAUAAAUUUUAGCGUAAUUUUGUA